This 471-nucleotide ribosomal RNA is filed under the name uncultured Sphingomonas sp. RNAcentral describes it as "bacterial SSU rRNA". It matches the Rfam family "Bacterial small subunit ribosomal RNA", at positions 1 to 524 of the family's 1533-position model. The record is from RNAcentral. Lineage: Bacteria; Pseudomonadati; Pseudomonadota; Alphaproteobacteria; Sphingomonadales; Sphingomonadaceae.
UAGAGUUUGAUCAUGGCUCAGAAUGAACGCUGGCGGCAUGCCUAACACAUGCAAGUCGAACGAAGGCUUCGGCCUUAGUGGCGCACGGGUGCGUAACGCGUGGGAAUCUGCCCUCAGGUUCGGAAUAACAGCGAGAAAUUGCUGCUAAUACCGGAUGAUAUCGCGAGAUCAAAGAUUUAUCGCCUGAGGAUGAGCCCGCGUAGGAUUAGCUAGUUGGUGUGGUAAAGGCGCACCAAGGCGACGAUCCUUAGCUGGUCUGAGAGGAUGAUCAGCCACACUGGGACUGAGACACGGCCCAGACUCCUACGGGAGGCAGCAGUGGGGAAUAUUGGACAAUGGGCGAAAGCCUGAUCCAGCAAUGCCGCGUGAGUGAUGAAGGCCUUAGGGUUGUAAAGCUCUUUUACCCGGGAUGAUAAUGACAGUACCGGGAGAAUAAGCUCCGGCUAACUCCGUGCCAGCAGCCGCGGUAAU